Molecule: ribosomal RNA, 217 nt
Filed under: Glomeromycotina sp.
Lineage: Eukaryota; Fungi; Glomeromycota
Description: partial small subunit ribosomal RNA
Rfam family: Eukaryotic small subunit ribosomal RNA (bases 41-217)
Source: RNAcentral
GGGGUCAGUAGGUUGGUCGUGCCACCGGUACGUACUGGCCUCACUGAUUCCUCCUUCCUGAAGAACCGUAAUGCCAUUAAUUUGGUGUUGCGGGGAAACAGGACUGUCACUUUGAAAAAAUUAGAGUGUUUAAAGCAAGCUAACGCUUGAAUACAUUAGCAUGGAAUAAUGAAAUAGGACGAUCGAUCCUAUUUUGUUGGUUUCUAGGAUUGACGUA